Danio aesculapii is the source of this 581-nucleotide non-coding RNA. NCBI's taxonomy places the organism in Eukaryota, Metazoa, Chordata, Actinopteri, Cypriniformes, Danionidae. The record is from the annotation of a RefSeq genome assembly.
AUGAACAUAGCUGAUGCUGAUCUCAGAUCAGUGUUUAUCUGCUGUUUUCUCUCUUUCUCUGCUGGAGUUUGUGUUCAUCUGAGUGUGACGGAGGUUUUUGUACGACGCUUUCACUACAAUCAAACACUGUGGUGGACUUUUGGUGGAGGAACUAAACUGACGGUCAAAACUGCUGCAGUGGUGAAGCCGUCCGUGUCUCUGCUGUCUUCCUCCUCUUCUCCUCCGUCUCUGCUCUGCCUGCUCAGCUCUUACUCUCCACAGGGGGCGCAGGUGAGCUGGAUGCUGGACUCGUCAGAGGUCACCCAGGGGGUUGAGACCAGCGCAGAGAGCGAGCGGGACGGACUCUACAGCAGCAGCAGCGUCCUGAAACUCAGUGAAGAACGCUGGGAAGGAGCAAAUCGGUUGGUCUGCAGAGUAAGACAUGAAGGAGCUGAUCAGGAGAGCUCGUUCCUCAAGAGCUCCCAGUGCUGAUGUUUCUCCAGGAUUCACAGCUGAUUGACAGAUUCUCAAUACUCCAGCAGCUUUCAGUGCAGCGCUUUCUGUCAUUGCUGAUGCUUCAAUAAAGCAGAUCAACCAGCUCA